This 546-nucleotide ribosomal RNA is filed under the name Iselma ursus. RNAcentral's name for it is "partial 16S ribosomal RNA". It matches the Rfam family "Bacterial large subunit ribosomal RNA", at positions 1797 to 2619 of the family's 2925-position model. The record is from RNAcentral. Lineage: Eukaryota; Metazoa; Arthropoda; Insecta; Coleoptera; Meloidae.
CGCCUGGUUAUCAAAAACAUGUCUUUUUGUUAAUUAUUUAAGGUCUAACCUGCUCAAUGAGUGUUAAAUAGCCGCAGUAUUUUGACUGUGCAAAGGUAGCAUAAUCAUUAGUUUUUUAAUUGGAAGCUGGAAUGAAUGGUUGGAUGAGAAGACGGCUGUCUCAUUUUAAUUUUGUUGAAUUUUAUUGUUAAGUUAAAAAGCUUAAAUUUUAUAGAAAGACGAGAAGACCCUAUAGAGUUUUACAAUUAAUUACUUGGUUUUUUUAGGCUUUAAUUUUUAAUUAGGUUUAUUUUUGUUUUGUUGGGGUGACAUGAAAAUUGGUUUAACUUUUCAUUAUUUCUACAUUUGUUUAUGAUUUGUUGAUCCUGAAGUUUUGGAUUUUAGAAUAAAUUACCUUAGGGAUAACAGCGUGAUUCCUUUAGAGAGUUCUAAUUGAUAAAGGAGAUUGCGACCUCGAUGUUGGAUUAAAGUUAAUUUUUGGUGCAGAAGCUGAGAUUUUAAGUCUGUUCGACUUUUAAAACUUUACGUGAUCUGAGUUUAGACCGG